UACAGAGGGUGCGAGCGUUAAUCGGAAUUACUGGGCGUAAAGCGCACGUAGUCGGCUUUGCAAGUCGGUUGUGAAAUCCCCGGGCUCAACCUGGGAACCGCGCUUGAGACUGGCGGACUCGAGUUCGGGAGAGGAUGGUGGAAUUCCCAGUGUAGAGGUGAAAUUCGUAGAUAUUGGGAAGAACACCGAUGGCGAAGGCAGCCAUCUGGACCGACACUGACGCUGAGGCGCGAAAGCGUGGGGAGCAAACAGG
This 253-nucleotide ribosomal RNA is filed under the name uncultured bacterium. Its description in RNAcentral is "partial 16S ribosomal RNA". It matches the Rfam family "Bacterial small subunit ribosomal RNA", at positions 524 to 776 of the family's 1533-position model. The record is from RNAcentral.